Molecule: long non-coding RNA, 812 nt
Organism: Mus musculus (house mouse)
Lineage: Eukaryota; Metazoa; Chordata; Mammalia; Rodentia; Muridae
Product: predicted gene, 52703
Exons: 3
Source: RefSeq, a predicted model, not a curated record
UUUUUUUGUUUUUCUUGACUCAUUUUGUGAUCAGGUUUGCUGAAGCCAAGAGAUCCCUUCAAUACAAAUGAAACCAUGCACACUAUGGGCAAUCUACAAUCAAGACCAAGUCAUUUGACACUACACCUCACUCAUCUAUACACUGAGGACGAUUCUAAGGUUGUUGCAAGAGUAAACUUGUAUGACCUGCAGGGUUUAACACUGAAGCAGCAGCAAAUGCAGGCACCUCUCUCGCUGCUGAUUUAAUGAGGACCGUGAGGUUUAGGAGAGUGCCUAGGAGUUAAAGUGCUCACUGUGAGAUCUUUUGCCAAGACCAGAGUUUGGAUCCCCUGGACUCACAUGAACGUUCUUCUGCCUAGAAAGCCAGCAUCUGAAGGCAGAGACAGGAGCCCUGGAGCGAACUGGCUAGCAUGGCAAGCUGAGAGUUCACCUGAAUGGGCCUGCCUUACUAAUAACUUGGAAAGCGCUGCACACAGGAGAACAUGUAUGCAAAUCACAUACACAUACAAAAAAGAAAGAACUCGCACACUGCUUCACUAUUAAGUACAUAAGACUUAUAAUCCAUCUCUCUGUGGUGAUCCUAAGCCUCUCAGAAUGUCAGAGUCCAAGAUUCGUCUGCACCAAUAGUGCUUACUAUAGGCAGGCAUGGCAGCCCAAGCCUAUGAUCUCAGCUACUCGAGAGGCUGAGGCAGAGAACCACGGUUCAAGGCCAGCAUGGGCAUCAGUAAGCCCUGGUCUGAAAAAAACUAAAGGGAGCUGGAAAUGCCCCUCAGUGGUGUGGGAAUGCCCCUCAGUGGUGAACUGCUGGUCUG